This 761-nucleotide small RNA is filed under the name Pan troglodytes (chimpanzee). RNAcentral describes it as "processed transcript". Lineage: Eukaryota; Metazoa; Chordata; Mammalia; Primates; Hominidae. The record is from RNAcentral.
AGAUACCUCAGCGCUACCUGGCGGAACUGGAUUUCUCUCCCGCCUGCCGGCCUGCCUGCCACAGCCGGACUCCGCCACUCCGGUAGCCUCAUGGCUGCAACCUGUGAGAUUAGCAACAUUUUUAGCAACUACUUCAGUGCGAUGUACAGCUCGGAGGACUCCACCCUGGCCUCUGUUCCCCCUGCUGCCACCUUUGGGGCCGAUGACUUGGUACUGACCCUGAGCAACCCCCAGAUGUCAUUGGAGGGUACAGGUGGGUCUCAGCGGGGUGGGAUGGGGCACGGAGUGGGAGACAGAUCCAUCUAAGGGCCUGUUAGACAAAUGGGGGAAUGGGCAGGGAGGAGGGUCUCUAGGCAAAUUCCAGGGCUAGAGGCUGAGACUUAGUGACUGAGGUGCUGGGGGUUGUGGGGCUGUGACAGGCAGAGGGAGGUGUCAGAUACCAGGACAAGGGUGUUGUGAAUGCUACCUCCUGCCCCUACUCUUGGGAUGGCUCCAAGGGCUGAGGUGUGAAUCCCCAGUGUGCUCCAGGAAUGGGGCUGUGUGGGCUGGGAGUGGCGGCUCACGCCUGUAAUCCCAGCACUUUGGGAGGCUGAGCUGAGCGGAUCACCUGAGGUCAAGAGUUCGAGACCAGCCUAGCCAACAUGGUGAAACCCCGUCUCUACUAAAAAUACAAAAAAAAUUUAUCCCAGCGUGGUGGUGGGCACCUAUAAUCCCAGCUACUGGGGAGGCUGACGCAGGAGUAUCGCUUGAACCUGGGAGGU